CCUACGGGAGGCAGCAGUGGGGAAUAUUGGACAAUGGGCGAAAGCCUGAUCCAGCAAUGCCGCGUGAGUGAUGAAGGCCUUAGGGUCGUAAAGCUCUUUUACCAGGGAUGAUAAUGACAGUACCUGGAGAAUAAGCUCCGGCUAACUCCGUGCCAGCAGCCGCGGUAAUACGGAGGGAGCUAGCGUUGUUCGGAAUUACUGGGCGUAAAGCGUGCGUAGGCGGUUAUUCAAGUCAGAGGUGAAAGCCCGGGGCUCAACCCCGGAACGGCCUUUGAAACUAGAUAACUAGAAUCUUGGAGAGGUCAGUGGAAUUCCGAGUGUAGAGGUGAAAUUCGUAGAUAUUCGGAAGAACACCAGUGGCGAAGGCGACUGACUGGACAAGUAUUGACGCUGAGGUACGAAAGCGUGGGGAGCAAACAGGAUUAGAUACCCUGGUAGUCCACGCCGUAAACGAUGAUAACUAGCUGUCCGGACACUUGGUGUUUUGGGGUGGUCGCGAGCGUACGACAUUAAGUUAGUUCCGUCCGUCGGGUAGGUACGGUCGGUCGAGAGUUAAACGUAACGAAAGGAAAGUUAGACGGCGUGUAGACGUUGCGACGGACGACGACGAGGGAGGAGG
This 619-nucleotide ribosomal RNA is filed under the name uncultured bacterium. Its description in RNAcentral is "bacterial SSU rRNA". The stretch from base 1 to 525 matches the Rfam family "Bacterial small subunit ribosomal RNA", at positions 338 to 873 of the family's 1533-position model. The record is from RNAcentral.